Molecule: ribosomal RNA, 701 nt
Filed under: Bimastos nanae
Lineage: Eukaryota; Metazoa; Annelida; Clitellata; Crassiclitellata; Lumbricidae
Description: partial large subunit ribosomal RNA
Rfam family: Bacterial large subunit ribosomal RNA (bases 1-468)
Source: RNAcentral
AUCACUUGCCCUUAAUUGUGGGCUAGAAUGAAAGGACCAACGAAAUAAAUACUGUCUCUACAAGUAAAAUAAAAAUUAACCUCUAACUGAAGAAUGUUAGAUGUCGUCGAAGGACAAGAAGACCCUAUAGAGCUUCAUUUAAUAAAAGAGUUCGCUACUUUUAUAUAAUUCGGUUGGGGCGACCAGGGAAAUAAUAAAUCAUCCCUUACUAAUAGAUAAAUAAAUCUCUCCAAUGACCCUUAAAAAAGAUCGCAAAAACAAGCUACCUUAGGGAUAACAGGCUAAUUCUAUUAAAGAGUCCUUAUCAAUAAUAGGGUUUGGCACCUCGAUGUUGGCUUAGGGAAUCUAUACGGCGCAAAAGUCAUAUAAAGAUGGUUUGUUCAACCAGUAAUACCCUACAUGAGCUGAGUUCAGACCGGCGUAAGCCAGGUUAGUUUCUAUCCUCGACAAAACAAUCAAUUUAUAGUACGAAAGGACCUAAAUAUGAAUAAUAAUUAUAAAUCAAGAAUACAUAUAACUGUACAAUUAAAAUAUUAAUACAUAAACUAUGUUAAUAGGUUGGCAGAAUAGUGCCACCGACUUAGAAUCGGUUCAUGGGCAAUGCCCACUUAUUAUGCAAUUUAGUUUAAUUAGAACAGUCAACUUGCACUUGACAAGUGAGGAAACUCAAUAGCGGUUUGAUGUUUUGGAAACACUGGACC